AGUGAACGCUGGCGGCAGGCCUAAUACAUGCAAGUCGAACGGAAACACAGUAAGAGUUCGCUCUUACGGGUGGCGAGUGGCGGACGGGUGAGGCAUACAUAGCAUUCCAAUAUUUCGUGGGGGACUUCGUAGAGACAGUUCCGAUAACAGCGAAUAUGAUCAACGGGUGAAAGCAGGAGAUAUUGGCACUUUGCCCGUUUCAUUGAGCCGAUGUCGGAUUAGCUAGUUGGCGGGGUAAGGGCACACCAAGGCGACGAUCCGUAGCUGAUCUGAGAGGAUGAUCAGCCACACUGGAACUGAGACACGGUCCAGACUCCUACGGGAGGCAGCAGUAGGGAAUAUUGGACAAUGGGCGCAAGCCUGAUGCAGCCAUGCCGCGUGAGUGAAGAAGGCCUUCGGAUUGUAAAGCCCUUUUAUUAGGGAAGAAAAGCUGCAUAUUAAUACCCGGCUGUUCUGACGGUACCCAAAGAGAAAGCACCGGCUAACUACGUG
RNAcentral lists this ribosomal RNA (492 nucleotides) under uncultured bacterium. RNAcentral's name for it is "partial 16S ribosomal RNA". It matches the Rfam family "Bacterial small subunit ribosomal RNA", at positions 29 to 507 of the family's 1533-position model. The record is from RNAcentral.